GCCCCUGUGGCGCAAUCGGUAGCGCGUAAGACUUGCAAGUACCCCCGAAUAACCCGCGACAUUUGAACCUUUACUAACUUACUAUGAAGCUAAUCUUAAGGCUGUGGGUUCGAUCCCCACCAGGGGCU
Molecule: transfer RNA, 128 nt
Filed under: Aspergillus brasiliensis
Lineage: Eukaryota; Fungi; Ascomycota; Eurotiomycetes; Eurotiales; Aspergillaceae
Description: tRNA-Ala
Rfam family: tRNA
About the family: Transfer RNA (tRNA) molecules are approximately 80 nucleotides in length. Their secondary structure includes four short double-helical elements and three loops (D, anti-codon, and T loops).
Source: RNAcentral